GCCAAAAUCUAGAACAAGCACACCCGGGUCCAAGUGCUAAACAUCCAAAAUCGCUUAUGCAGAAAGCCAACAACACGAAUGAAAACAUUGAAACUGCUUAUCCAAAAGAAAACUCAAAAUCGCGUUUCCAUCGGCAUCAUCAAUGCUCGUGUUCUUCUCCAUCCUUUGAUUCGCCGAAGAGUUUUGAAACCUCGCAUGUUAGGUUCUCAACAUCGCAUUUCGGCAUCGCGUUUGGGUGUUCAAGUAUUGAAAGCGUGGUGUUUGUGGACGACGUCAUGUUUCGAUUAGGAUUCAGUCUCGAUUCUUCAUCUCCUUCGCAUCCCAAAGUGUAAUCUCUUCAAAACGCUGGGAAAGAGGGAACAGUAACGGCAUUGUGAGCUUCAACUGAAACUUUGGAAGCAAAGUAUGACAGUAAUGCCUGCCUUCGUCUUCAGCUGCAUCCGUCCGCGAAGAGGCGAUCGAUGCUGCCAAGUAUUCAUCCGUAAUUCAAGGCUGGUGAAUCAGUAACUCGAAGUGUACUUGAUCCACUAUUUCCUAAUUGCGUUCAACCUCGAAGGAUUCCAUUGAAAUUGGAACGGAAUUGCGACAAGAAUAAGAAUAAACUACGGAAUAUGGCAAGGAUAACCUACCUGAUUGAAGCGACGCGGAGGUUCCGGUGUCGUUGAUGUUGUUCGCAGUCGGAAGUUUGUUGGCUCGCGCUCGUUGCUGCGCUUUCUGGGUUGCGUUUUGGUUUCCGCUUGCAGCAUUGAGAUGCAGGUGGCGUGAUGGUUUGAGCUCCAUCAGUUGAAGCUUCAACGUGAAGCUUCAAUGGUGUUUCACUAUCAGAACUUUGGUGAGGGAAAUGAAGCAGACGAAACAAAAAGUGAAACAGAAGGUUGAAGAAUGGAGUAGAAAAAUUGCAGAAAUGAAAAACCCUUCACAAUGAGGCUUGGAGGGCUUAUAUAGAGCGCUUAGCCUAACCGAUUCGGGCAGGUUGUUGAUCAAGAUUUCUACGAUAGAGCCGGUGUACUAAAUGUUGUGAAGUUGAACCAAGAGCCAUCGUCUUAUUGCUGCGAUAUUAUGUGUGGUGUGAAUAGAGCUGUCAAUUUAGGUGUCAAUUUAGGAGGUCGGUGCCUAACUUUUAAGGCCCCAAAAUAUAGGGGGUUCAAAAUUCUAAAAAUAAAUAAGCCCCAAAAUAUAUAGGCUCCCUAAACUAAAGGCUCAUAAAAUUCAAGUAAAGCCUGAAGACCCCAUCAUUUUUUCAAGUCGAUUUUUUAAAGAAAAA
Molecule: long non-coding RNA, 1264 nt
Organism: Lathyrus oleraceus (garden pea)
Lineage: Eukaryota; Viridiplantae; Streptophyta; Magnoliopsida; Fabales; Fabaceae
Exons: 3
Source: RefSeq, a predicted model, not a curated record